RNAcentral lists this ribosomal RNA (465 nucleotides) under Klebsiella pneumoniae. RNAcentral describes it as "bacterial SSU rRNA". It matches the Rfam family "Bacterial small subunit ribosomal RNA", at positions 338 to 795 of the family's 1533-position model. The record is from RNAcentral. Lineage: Bacteria; Pseudomonadati; Pseudomonadota; Gammaproteobacteria; Enterobacterales; Enterobacteriaceae.
CGUACGGGAGGCUGCAGUGGGGAAUAUUGCACAAUGGGCGCAAGCCUGAUGCAGCCAUGCCGCGUGUGUGAAGAAGGCCUUCGGGUUGUAAAGCACUUUCAGCGGGGAGGAAGGCGUUAAGGUUAAUAACCUUGGCGAUUGACGUUACCCGCAGAAGAAGCACCGGCUAACUCCGUGCCAGCAGCCGCGGUAAUACGGAGGGUGCAAGCGUUAAUCGGAAUUACUGGGCGUAAAGCGCACGCAGGCGGUCAGUCAAGUCGGAUGUGAAAUCCCCGGGCUCAACCUGGGAACUGCAUUCGAAGCUGGCAGGCUAGAGUCUUGUAGAGGGGGGUAGAAUUCCAGGUGUAGCGGUGAAAUGCGUAGAGAUCUGGAGGAAUACCGGUGGCGAAGGCGGCCCCCUGGACAAAGACUGACGCUCAGGUGCGAAAGCGUGGGGAGCAAACAGGAUUAGAUACCCCGGUAGUC